UACGUAGGGCGCAAGCGUUGUCCGGAAUUAUUGGGCGUAAAGAGCUCGUAGGCGGCUUGUCGCGUCUGUUGUGAAAGCCCGGGGCUUAACCCCGGGUCUGCAGUGGAUACGGGCAGGCUAGAGGCAGGUAGGGGAGAACGGAAUUCCCGGUGUAGCGGUGAAAUGCGCAGAUAUCAGGAAGAACACCCGUGGCUAAGGCGGCUCUCUAGUACGGUACUGACGCUGAGACGCGAAAGCGUGGGGAGCGAACAGG
Molecule: ribosomal RNA, 253 nt
Filed under: uncultured bacterium
Lineage: Bacteria
Description: partial 16S ribosomal RNA
Rfam family: Bacterial small subunit ribosomal RNA
Source: RNAcentral